GCGGCGGACGGGUGAGUAACGCGUAGAUAACCUACCCCAUACACAGGGAUAGCCUAGGGAAACCUGGAUUAAUACCUGAUGAUGCGAGAAUGUCACAUGACGAUCUCGCCAAAGAUUUAUCGGUAUGGGAUGGAUCUGCGUCUGAUUAGUUAGUUGGUGAGGUAACGGCUCACCAAGGCAGCGAUCAGUAGCCGACCUGAGAGGGUAAUCGGCCACAUUGGAACUGAGACACGGUCCAAACUCCUACGGGAGGCAGCAGUGGGGAAUAUUGCACAAUGGGCGCAAGCCUGAUGCAGCAACGCCGCGUGAGCGAUGAAGGUCUUCGGAUCGUAAAGCUCUGUCCUUGGGGAAGAAAAAAAUGACGGUACCCAAGGAGGAAGCCCCGGCUAACUACGUGCCAGCAGCCGCGGUAAUACGUAGGGGGCGAGCGUUAUCCGGAAUUAUUGGGCGUAAAGAGUACGUAGGUGGUUUUGUAAGCAUGGGGUGAAAGACCGAAGCUCAACUUCGGUUAGCCUUGUGAACUGCAAGACUUGAGUGCAGGAGAGGAAAGUGGAAUUCCUAGUGUAGCGGUGAAAUGCGUAGAUAUUAGGAGGAACACCAGUGGCGAAGGCGACUUUCUGGACUGUAACUGACACUGAGGUACGAAAGCGUGGGUAGCAAACAGGAUUAGAUACCCUGGUAGUCCACGCCGUAAACGAUGAGCACUAGGUGUCGGGGUCGCAAGGCUUCGGUGCCGCAGUUAACGCAUUAAGUGCUCCGCCUGGGGAGUACGCACGCAAGUGUAAAACUCAAAGGAAUUGACGGGGACCCGCACAAGCAGCGGAGCAUGUGGUUUAAUUCGAAGCAACGCG
This 851-nucleotide ribosomal RNA is filed under the name uncultured bacterium. RNAcentral's name for it is "bacterial SSU rRNA". It matches the Rfam family "Bacterial small subunit ribosomal RNA", at positions 95 to 963 of the family's 1533-position model. The record is from RNAcentral.